Molecule: ribosomal RNA, 506 nt
Filed under: uncultured bacterium
Lineage: Bacteria
Description: partial 16S ribosomal RNA
Rfam family: Bacterial small subunit ribosomal RNA
Source: RNAcentral
AGUGAACGCUGGCGGUAGGCCUAACACAUGCAAGUCGAACGGCAGCACAGAGGAGCUUGCUCCUUGGGUGGCGAGUGGCGGACGGGUGAGGAAUACAUCGGAAUCUACUCUGUCGUGGGGGAUAGCGUAGGGAAACUUACGCUAAUACCGCAUACGACCUACGGGUGAAAGCAGGGGAUCUUCGGACCUUGCGCGAUUGAAUGAGCCGAUGUCGGAUUAGCUAGUUGGCGGGGUAAAGGCCCACCAAGGCGACGAUCCGUAGCUGGUCGGAGAGGAUGAUCAGCCACACUGGAACUGAGACACGGUCCAGACUCCUACGGGAGGCAGCAGUGGGGAAUAUUGGACAAUGGGCGCAAGCCUGAUCCAGCCAUACCGCGUGGGUGAAGAAGGCCUUCGGGUUGUAAAGCCCUUCUGUUGGGAAAGAAAUCCAUCUGGUUAAUACCCGGGUGGGAUGACGGUACCCAAAGAAUAAGCACCGGCUAACUUCGUGCCAGCAGCCGCCGCUG